AGUUUCUGAAUGCCGGGGGAUUUGUGUCUCGUGACUGUCUGUUGCUAGGGAAACCGCACCAGUAAGACACACAGGCAAGGUGCGCUGCUGUUAGUUUGUCAGUGCGGUACGGUGUGCUGCUAUUUUGCGGUUUGGGCAGUAAAAAGCGAGAUUAUGCCAGAUGUCUUCACUGGUCACUGUGCGUUAUGGUCCAUACGAAUCGUGUGGAGUUGUUAAUCACAAGACUUUCCGCCUAGAAGGCCUGCAAGCGGUUCUGAGAGACUGCGGCUACGUGUGUGUUCUUGAGGAAGCGCCUGACUGGAACCAGGUGGAGAUGGUGGUUCAUGGAGAAAGCGUCUAUAAAUGCGACAUCAACAAACUGGAGUUUGAAAUAGUCAGUGAGUUUCUCAGCUCCUGAGGUGAUGCACUGACUCGGCUGGAUACUGCACCACGGGGAAGACAAAAGAACUGCCAAUGGACCCGCCUAAUAAGGAGGUGAUGGGAGGCUUGAUCCACUGUGCCAAGAGGCCAUAGAAGCAGUGAGGAAUGCAUACCAACAACACCAAAUAUGAUAUAUAUAUAUCCUGUAAUACUGAUUAAAAAGAC
Molecule: RNA transcript, 585 nt
Organism: Hemibagrus wyckioides
Lineage: Eukaryota; Metazoa; Chordata; Actinopteri; Siluriformes; Bagridae
Gene: lg03h10orf53
Gene name: linkage group 03 C10orf53 homolog
Exons: 4
Source: RefSeq, a predicted model, not a curated record